This 69-nucleotide transfer RNA is filed under the name Ictidomys tridecemlineatus (thirteen-lined ground squirrel). RNAcentral's name for it is "Spermophilus tridecemlineatus (thirteen-lined ground squirrel) tRNA". It matches the Rfam family "tRNA". From Rfam's summary of the family: Transfer RNA (tRNA) molecules are approximately 80 nucleotides in length. Their secondary structure includes four short double-helical elements and three loops (D, anti-codon, and T loops). Lineage: Eukaryota; Metazoa; Chordata; Mammalia; Rodentia; Sciuridae. The record is from Rfam by way of RNAcentral.
GGAGCUGUGGCUCAGUGGUAGAGCGCUCGCCUAGCACGUGCAAGGUACUGGGUUCGACCCUCAGCUCCA